This 549-nucleotide ribosomal RNA is filed under the name Triticum aestivum (bread wheat). Its description in RNAcentral is "partial small subunit ribosomal RNA". Lineage: Eukaryota; Viridiplantae; Streptophyta; Magnoliopsida; Poales; Poaceae. The record is from RNAcentral.
AUGGCCCAGGUGGACGCCUGCAAUGGCCUCCUUCUCUACCGCAGCAGCAACAAUAAGUUGGCCCAUUUGAACUGGAAUUGGGUAGAGGACAAUUUCCGUUUUUUCGUGUGCAAUCCCCUCACCGGGGGGUGGUUGGAGGAUAGUGGGAUGGUUGAGAAUGUGAUGUUGUUCUAUCUUACUAGAUGUGUAUUUGUUGGUGGUAUCAUGUACCUGAUGGGCAUUCAUAAAGGCAUCAACCAAGAGAAUGUGCUGGUGGGGGUGGACAAGGAGGUGAAAGUGUGGAAGAUUAUCCGCGUGCAGUACAGUUCAAGAGAUGGCACGUUUGGAUCAUCGCAGGGGUGCUUACACUUUGCUAUAGCUUCUUCCAUUGAUAAGAUUGAAGUCUGGUGCCUCAAGGAUUGUGACAGUAACGAAUUUGUCCUGAAGAAUACCACCAGCAUCGAUAAGCUUACGAGCAUGACUAUGAAGUGGUACAGUGUGGCUAAGAUUCAUCCAGAUUGCAACACCAUUUUCCUGGUUUCAUGGGAAGGUCAUAUCUUGGCAACUUGA